AAACAGCAUAUGCAAGCUCAUGCCAUUUUAUUCAAAAUAGAGGAUUCCGCCGAUUUUGCAAAGAUUGUUUCCCAUUCAAAAGCAAUCAUUUUUCUUGGUUUGGAGAAGAGAUUGUUUUCAAAGGUUGAGGGUUAGGAAGAAGAGAGUGUUUGGAUACACCUAUAAUACAUCUAGGAUCCGAAUGAG
Molecule: long non-coding RNA, 186 nt
Organism: Camelina sativa (false flax)
Lineage: Eukaryota; Viridiplantae; Streptophyta; Magnoliopsida; Brassicales; Brassicaceae
Source: RefSeq, a predicted model, not a curated record